RNAcentral lists this non-coding RNA (569 nucleotides) under Pongo abelii (Sumatran orangutan). The record is from RNAcentral. Lineage: Eukaryota; Metazoa; Chordata; Mammalia; Primates; Hominidae.
AAACUGGAUGCUGACGGGGCCACCUCUGAUCUUGUGAGGAACCAGUCAGGGAGCAAUUGCUGAAGCUGCAAAAGACUUCUGAAUUAACAAUGAAGAAUUCAGACCAUCUUUUACUCUCGAACAAAAAGAACACAGCUAACCAGAGACAACCAGUGACUGAGCUGGGGCGUGAGAGCCCAGUCCUUUGGAUUUUUGAGCAGUGGUUCCAUGUGGCUUACCUGAGCUAUCCUGAGCUCAUCAAAGGACAGAAAUCUGCUGAGACCCUUGUUCUAAGUAUGUACUUUUCUUCCCAAGUCUCUUUAUUGAUAGGCACAACAGCUUGAAGAAACCAAAUGGACUGGAUGCCAAAAGCAUCCAGUGAUCCCCUUUGUGACCCCCUAUUAGACGAAGUCAAGACUGGCAUUAACAGAGCCAAGACUGCAAGUGAUACAGCCCAGGCAUGUGUAACAGAAACAGCUUUGACCUCUAACAACAUCCAGAACCAAUGAUUCCUCCUCAUGGAACCAAGAAGAUGGGACAUGGCCAGAACCUGCUGCAAUAUGACCACUGGCACUCUUUCAAAGCAAGGG